UACGUAGGGUGCGAGCGUUAAUCGGAAUUACUGGGCGUAAAGCGUGCGCAGGCGGUCUGUUAAGACCGAUGUGAAAUCCCCGGGCUUAACCUGGGAACUGCAUUGGUGACUGGCAGGCUUUGAGUGUGGCAGAGGGAGGUAGAAUUCCACGUGUAGCAGUGAAAUGCGUAGAUAUGUGGAGGAACACCGAUGGCGAAGGCAGCCCCCUGGGUCAAGAUUGACGCUCAUGCACGAAAGCGUGGGGAGCAAACAGG
Molecule: ribosomal RNA, 254 nt
Filed under: uncultured bacterium
Lineage: Bacteria
Description: partial 16S ribosomal RNA
Rfam family: Bacterial small subunit ribosomal RNA
Source: RNAcentral